AUUGAACGCUGGCGGCAUGCCUUACACAUGCAAGUCGAACGGUAACAGGUCUUCGGAUGCUGACGAGUGGCGAACGGGUGAGUAAUACAUCGGAACGUGCCUAGUAGUGGGGGAUAACUACUCGAAAGAGUGGCUAAUACCGCAUGAGAUCUACGGAUGAAAGCAGGGGAUCGCAAGACCUUGUGCUACUAGAGCGGCCGAUGGCAGAUUAGGUAGUUGGUGGGAUAAAAGCUUACCAAGCCGACGUUCUGUAGCUGGUCUGAGAGGACGAUCAGCCACACUGGGACUGAGACACGGGCCAGACUCCUACGGGAGGCAGCAGUGGGGAAUUUUGGACAAUGGGCGCAAGCCUGAUCCAGCAAUGCCGCGUGCAGGAUGAAGGCCUUCGGGUUGUAAACUGCUUUUGUACGGAACGAAAAGCCCUGGGUUAAUACCCUGGGGUCAUGACGGUACCGUAAGAAUAAGCACCGGCUAACUACGUGCCAGCCGCCGCCGUAA
This 498-nucleotide ribosomal RNA is filed under the name uncultured bacterium. RNAcentral describes it as "partial 16S ribosomal RNA". It matches the Rfam family "Bacterial small subunit ribosomal RNA", at positions 30 to 523 of the family's 1533-position model. The record is from RNAcentral.